UUUAGUAGGUAUACGUUGGAGAAGGAGAGUCACCUGUCGAUGUUGCGCAUCGACGCUGGAUGUGUAUGGUCGGAGAAAUGGGACAUGUAUGAUGCGGGCGCGGAAGCGGGUGGCGGGCGGUGCCCUAGUGGGCGCGGGCGGCCAGCACGGCGGGAACGCGUCGUUUUGCGGCACAGUGAGAGUGGUGUGGAAGCAGUGCCAUGGUGCGGCGAGGGCGAGUGCGGUCGAUGAGCCCGACGCAGAGGGCAGCACGGAGCCGCCGCGGGGGGCUCCGCCGGCUCCCCCGCGCCCGUUCCAUCACCCCGUCUGCCUGCGCACUCGGCUCGGCCGCGCCGCGCGCUCACUAAUGCGUCAUACCGCCAUCGAGACUGACGCGGCCAUGCCGCCGCAACGACGCGACAGUUCGCGCCAUGUGAACUUCAGUGUUGACUUAUAUGUAGAGCCUCGGAAUUCAUCGAGUACCUACUUGAAAUAGGUCGUAUCUUAAACGCUAGCAAUUAUGGACAGUGACUUUGGUGCUUGUGAGCAGAGACAGAGUGGUGCAUCGAACCAACGCACGUGCUCAGGAGUCGACGGCAUUUCUGAAACUCGCUGCACAUAGAUGCCCUAGUCACGCAAUACGGAUUGAGUAUUCUUCGAGAACGUACUGUCUACGGGUAUGGAACUGCUGAUAGCAAAAAUUGACUAUUACGACAUAUUCUUAAACCAAUUCGAGCUCAUCGAUAUAAUCCGCAUUCUGUCGGCGCGAGUCCACGAGGACAGCGGCGAGCCGGUCCUGGUCUAGCACCACCGACACCAUCAUGGCCACAACACUCUACAG
This is a long non-coding RNA of Cydia fagiglandana, 820 nucleotides long. RefSeq lists it as uncharacterized. The transcript has 4 exons. NCBI's taxonomy places the organism in Eukaryota, Metazoa, Arthropoda, Insecta, Lepidoptera, Tortricidae. The record is from RefSeq and is a predicted model, not a curated record.